Long non-coding RNA from Poecilia latipinna (sailfin molly), 2800 nucleotides. RefSeq lists it as uncharacterized. The record is from RefSeq and is a predicted model, not a curated record. The transcript is spliced from 2 exons. Lineage: Eukaryota; Metazoa; Chordata; Actinopteri; Cyprinodontiformes; Poeciliidae.
UAAAGUAGGAUUCGCUAAUUUAAUCAUUUUUUACUGAUCGAUAUAUUUACACACUGACAUGUCUGAUGAAAAUUUAAAUGGUUUCAGUGGCUAAUACCGUCCAAAGCUCCUUUUGUACUGCAUCUCUGUAAGGGUAUGAACAUGUACAGGACAGAACAAAGCAAACACACUCAAAUCUAAUAACAAUUCAGAGUGGAUAAUUAACCAAAACUGCAUAUCUUUAGACUGCAGGGAGGAGUGGGAGAGAUCUACAGUUCAGGCAGCAGAAUCAAUUCACAGAACUAGUAGCUGUGCAUGCCACAAAACUAGCUAAUAUAGAAGAGUGGCAAGAAAAAAAAAACAGAGGUGCUGUUUGGUAUGGGGACACAAAAAUUACACAUCACAUAUUUGUAAGAAGUUAUUUUUUUGUCAGUGUCAGACCAAAGUCAAACCUUUUGACUUACAUGGUAACACUAUUGCACCUGCACAUGACAUCCACUUGGUGAAACUUGGUGAUGGCAGCCUCAUGCUGUGGGAUGGCUGUCUCCAGUAGGGGUAGGGAAGUUGGUCAGUGAUGAUAGAAAAUAAAGGAAAACCUCGUUAGAGACGAGAAACACUUAAACAACAGCUAGAGCCUCAUGGAAUGGUUUAGGUAAAAUGUAUAAGAAUGUGACAUAAUGCUAUAAUUUAGAACAAAAAUGCUUUUGUUCGGAUGUUAGCUAAUUUUUAAAACAAACCAAGCCAUUAGCUUGUUAAUAGCAAUCAUAAAUUACGUGGAACAGCGUUAGCAGAUCUCCAUUCACUCCAUGAUUAGCCUCAGAAGUUUGUUCCUGCAGCUGAAUAACUCUGAAAAGCCUCCGAAGCCUGGCGGACCCCAAAUUGCAGCACUAUUAGAAAAAAAAAACAAAAAAAAAACAUGAUUGCAUAGAAGUAAGCAGCAUUUAAGGGCUUAAAGAAGCGCUGCGGCUGAACCCAAACCAGAGCCCAUUUUCUGCUUGUGUCCCACUAUGAACAAAAGCCCGGCGCUACCUCGGCUUCAAAGGCUCCAUAAUAGUGAAUCGAUCAGAAUGCGAGGCGCUGUUCUGCAGAUUACUGUUAACAAUAAUUUGCCUCCCAGUGCACCGUUGCCAUCUUUGAAGCAAUGUUUUAUUGCCUUUUCUUUUUUUCAUCUGCAUCUGUCAUCCCUGAGGUCCACUGUUUGAUCUCACCCCCUCCUUUCCCUCCCCACCAGUGCGUGCCUCCCCGGGGUCGCGUUGACCUGUUGAUUGGCAGCUGCGAUCAGACAUAUGGUGGGACGAGGCAUCGACCCGCAGCUCCCCGGAGACAAAAGCAGACUAGCUGAGUUUUUUCCCCCCUCCUUCAUCCCCCGUCUUCCACAGCGCCGAAGAGCCGAGCUGUAACACCCGAGGAGCAGGAGGCGGAGGAGGAAGAGGAGGAGGAAGAGGUGCGACCGACCACUAGAUGACGCAAGAUGGUGUCAUUUGUUGGCGGUGCUGGAAGACAAACAGAGCAUCUCAUCAUCUGGACUGUUUUCACUGCAGAUGCAAAAAGGUGUCAGACUUGUUUUGGUAUCUCCUUGUAACAAGGAUCAAUCCCUUUACUGAUCACUUGAAUUGCAACACAUGGGCCUCCCAAACCUGAUUAUGUUAGUUAGCAUAAACGUAAUUUAUAUAAAUAGUACCCUGUGUAAUAAUUGGUACCCCUGGCAAAAUGUGAGCAAAACCCCUAAAACAAAUUGUCGCUAUGGAGAAACAAUGGGAUGACAGGUUUUGGUUCUUUAACAAUAAGCCUAGGAGAUUUUGUUGAUCUUUGCUGUAUAGACGAGAUAAAAAUUGGUUAUUGUCGUAUUCCAGUUGUUGAAAACUGUUUAAUUGUUUCUCUGAUUGUAGAUAUAGAUGAGUUUAGUUGUGUGUCUUUUAUCUUGUAGCCAUUUUCUGACAAUGUAAUUUUUUCCAAGUCAAGUCUCAACUCCAAGUCAGGUUUGAAAUCUAAGAGUUAACUCAUAGUCAAGCUUCAAGUCUUUAAUGUAUGAAUUUUUUUAAUAAAUGCAUGCCAGGUCUAUAACUGCAUCAGUAUAUUAUUUUAACAUUUGAACCUUUGUCUUUUAAUCUUUAAACAUUUAAUUUUGGCAUGCAAACAAAUUGUUGUAGGCUACUUCCACAUUUCAAUUUAGAAAUUGAUAAAGUGUAAUAUUUAUCCUGUUAGAAAUACAAACAGGCAUUUAUGCUAAACAAAAAUAACAGAAUGAGAUUAAAAUCAAGCAAAGCACAUUUAUUUUGCCUUUGUAAUAAUGUAGUCAAUACCUGUUAAUAACUGUUGCCCAUAUUGCCCAGUCUCACUAUAUUCAGCACUAAAUAAGAUUUGGUGGUUUCUCUCCUCCUCACUCUAAAUCAGAACUUUUUUUAUUAAAUUUUCAUUAACAAAAUGCUUUAAAUAUACAUUUAAAACCUUUGUUGCCAAGUCUAAAAAGUUACGAUGUUCAAAAAUGAUGCUGUAAAUUACAACAUAAUGAGUGAGGAACUGUGGAGUGAGGAACCGAAAAAACAUCUGUAUGAGCAGAACAGGAAGAGAGCUUUAUUUAGCCGAAAGUGUCCAAGUAGCUUCAUAGUGGAUGAAUAGAGAAUAGUGGAUGAUUUCUCCUUUUGUGAACAAAAGCUCACUCUGUAAUUCACUGGCGUUCCUAAGACUUAGAAAUGUCUGUCCAGACUGGUAGAUGUCAGUGAUGUUUGUUGCUUUUUGGUUGCAUUUAGGCUACUUCAUGUUGUCAGGCAGGGUCUAUUUAAGUGACCUUGUUAAUAAAUAUCAUUAUUAUUUUAAGACU